Long non-coding RNA from Venturia canescens, 1002 nucleotides. RefSeq lists it as uncharacterized. Lineage: Eukaryota; Metazoa; Arthropoda; Insecta; Hymenoptera; Ichneumonidae. The record is from RefSeq and is a predicted model, not a curated record. The transcript is spliced from 2 exons.
CCAGUCGCGCUUAGAGAUUCAUUCACCAAGAAAGGCCAGCAACAACAUCGGCUCUAAUUGACUCGUUCUACUCAUCGAUGACUUCAGAGAUGAAGAGCCUUGGAGAGCCUGCUGUGCAGCAAAAAAAAUGGAGCGAGGAAUGUGACGGUGACCAAGACCCAAGAUUGGAUCGAUUUUCGUUCCUUACAAGUUGCGAAAUAGCCGCGUGAGAGUGAACGGGAAACGAGACGAGGCCACGCUGAACGAUGACCGAGUGAGUUUGGAAAGACGAUACACAAAUGUGUUCGAGGAGACGCGUCUCGUACAUCUUCUGCUAAUGAAGAUACGAAGGGCUAUUCGACAGGCGUUUUUUAUUCAUCGGUCAUACAUUGAUGGAACAGUUUGCGCUGGAAUCCGACCGACAGCGACUCCGGGAAGCGUCUUCGACGUUUAAUUGCACAUCGACGAGGAGUGCUCCAAUUAAGCCGACCGGAAGCUGCGUCCUCGAGACCGAGAGAGGCCAACGAGGGCGGCACCAAAUACGUUGACAUCUUGAUGCAUCGUGGAUCUUGUGUACUAUCCUCCCAACAAAAAUCCGCCUAAUUGAUUAACCUGAGGGCUAACCAUCGAAAGUUCGGAUAGCUGCGAACAUUUUUCGUGCUGAAAAAAGCAUUGAAACGUUGCUGCAUUUGCAAUAUUGAACUUUUUAGAAGUUUCAAAAUCUUCGUCUCUUUCUUACCCCCAAAAACUAAGAAUUGUACUGCAAGUUUUUGCAAUUUUAAAGAGAAAACAAAAUUUGUGACAUCUCUUUUUACUGCAAUUUUAAUCCAAGAAAUAGUUAUUCGCAUGAUCGUAUUUUUUGGUGGCGCAAACCAAGACCCUUUAUUUUAAUCGUCGCUUUGGAGUUCUUGCAUUUUUUCCUAUCCGCGAGAAGUUUGUAUGAGGAAUUCAUAAUUUUUCGGUACAUGAAUCAUUGAAUAUGAAUCUCCAUAAGCUUCUGUAUAAAUUUUACAGUUUUUCAAG